GGGGGUGUAGCUCAGUUGGUCAGAGCAGUCGACUCAUAAUCGAUUGGUCGCGGGUUCAAGUCCUGCCACCCCUA
RNAcentral lists this transfer RNA (74 nucleotides) under Blastopirellula sp. Its description in RNAcentral is "tRNA-Met". It matches the Rfam family "tRNA". From Rfam's summary of the family: Transfer RNA (tRNA) molecules are approximately 80 nucleotides in length. Their secondary structure includes four short double-helical elements and three loops (D, anti-codon, and T loops). Lineage: Bacteria; Pseudomonadati; Planctomycetota; Planctomycetia; Pirellulales; Pirellulaceae. RNAcentral also lists the same sequence under 1 other name. The record is from RNAcentral.